Long non-coding RNA from Apodemus sylvaticus (European woodmouse), 587 nucleotides. RefSeq lists it as uncharacterized. The record is from RefSeq and is a predicted model, not a curated record. NCBI's taxonomy places the organism in Eukaryota, Metazoa, Chordata, Mammalia, Rodentia, Muridae. The transcript is spliced from 3 exons.
GGUCCCAUGCAGCCCUGCAGGAUAAGCCUGAAGUAUCAUUAUUGAGCCGCACUGCAAUGUCUGCGGGCCAGUGGCGCAAUGGAUAACGCGUCUGACUACGGAUCAGAAGAUUCCAGAUGUAAAUAAACAUUUUCGCGCGCGCACACCCGCCAGAGAAAGGAAAUUCACGAGAAAUUACAGUGCCCAGGAACCAUGAAACUGCUUGGCAGAGACCCACGAGAAUCUACGUUUCCCCCUCUUCACAGCUGCUCCAUGCGAGGAACAGGAAAUGACAGAGCAAGGAAAGACCUAGGAAGGAAAAUGGGAAGCAUCCCUGAAGGCAACAAGCCCACAGAUGUUGAGGACCCUCCAGCCAAUCUGAUGGAGGCGUUGAUGGGGCUGCAUCUCAUCCAUCUGCGUUGUCUUUGCUCUUCAUUAAAAAUUGCUUUGUCCACCUCAUGAGCACAAUGUUGGGCAGGUCCUAGGAAUCCCGCCUUGCUCCACUCCAGCUCUCGCACAAACUUCAGCUAGUCACUGGGGAACGAACGAACAAACGAACGAACAUCAUGUAACUACUGGUCUGUGUAGAGCAACAGGAGGAGGACUGA